RNAcentral lists this non-coding RNA (783 nucleotides) under Epuraea guttata. The record is from RNAcentral. Lineage: Eukaryota; Metazoa; Arthropoda; Insecta; Coleoptera; Nitidulidae.
AUAAAGUUUUAUUCUAAUUUAAAUAUUAAAUUAAAUUUUUAUUUAUAUGUAAGUAUUAGUGUGAGGGGAUAUUGUUUCUUAAAAAGCUACAAUACACACUAUAUUCGCAGUAGGUAUAAUUAAAUAUUAAAGAAAUUUAGAUUUAGAAAUAAUUUUUAUUAUUGGCAAAAUUUGUGCCAGCAGCUGCGGUUAAACAAAUAAUAUAAUUUAAUAUUAUCGGCUUUAAUUAAUUUGAUAACAAAAUGAUUAUAUAUUUGAAUUUAUUGGGUGAAAUCUUAAGUUUAGGCCAAAAUUAAUUGGGGGAUUAAUGAGGUUAAGAAAUUUAUUAGAUAAACUAGGAUUAGAUACCCUAUUAUUGUAAACGUUAAAUUUAUAGCUGGUUUACUAAUAGUUAUGUUCUUUAAAAUUAAAGAUUUUGGCGGUAUUUUAGUCUAUUUAGAGGAACCUGUCCUAUAAUCGAUGCUCCACGAUUAGAACUACCGAAAUUUUUAAUCUAUAUAUCGUCGUAGUCGAAUACUUUAGAAGAGUUUGAGUGUUCAAGAUUUUUUAUUAAAAAAGUAAAUCAGAUCAAGGUAUCGUUUAUAUUUCGGAAGAGAUGGGUUACAUUGGGUUUAUUUUGGAUUGAAAAUUUUAAAUUUUUUUGAAAUUGGAUUUAAAAGUAAUUUUUAAAUAUUUAUAAAAUGAUUUUAGCUCUGAAAUAUGUACAUAUCGCCCGUCGCUUUCAUAUUAAAAUGAAAUAAGUCGUAACAUAGUAGUUUUACUGGAAAGUGAGUCUAGGAUUGU